This 477-nucleotide ribosomal RNA is filed under the name uncultured anaerobic ammonium-oxidizing bacterium. RNAcentral describes it as "bacterial SSU rRNA". It matches the Rfam family "Bacterial small subunit ribosomal RNA", at positions 365 to 832 of the family's 1533-position model. The record is from RNAcentral.
UUCGCAAUGCCCGAAAGGGUGACGAAGCGACGCCGCGUGCGGGAAGAAGGCCUUCGGGUUGUAAACCGCUGUCGGGAGUUAGGAAAUGCAAGGAUGUUAAUAGCGUCCUUGCUUGACUAAGGCUCCGGAGGAAGCCACGGCUAACUCUGUGCCAGCAGCCGCGGUAAUACAGAGGCGGCAAGCGUUGUUCGGAAUUAUUGGGCGUAAAGAGCUCGUAGGCGGCUCUGUAAGUCAGCUGUGAAAGCCUUCUGCUUAACGGAAGAACAGCAGUUGAAACUACAGUACUUGAGUGCGGGAGGGGAGAGUGGAACUUCUGGUGGAGCGGUGAAAUGCGUAGAUAUCAGAAGGAACGCCGGCGGCGAAAGCGGCUCUCUGGCCCGUAACUGACGCUGAGUGUGCGAAAGCUAGGGGAGCAAACGGGAUUAGAUACCCCGGUAGUCCUAACUGUAAACGAUGGGCACUAAGUAGAGGGGUUUU